AAUGUGUGAGGUGGUGCUAUGUAGCAGGAACCCCUCUUGCUUUGCAAAUAGUUUUUUGUUUGUUUUCCUUUUUGCCCAAUAGAGCCCUGCUCUACUGACCCUUCAAUGUGCCCGUGUGCCUAAAUAUUCCUGGUCGUGUGAAAAGAACCCAGGUAUUAGCUGAACUAAGGAGCACAAUUCUGCAACAUUUUGGCACCCAAACACGGGGCUUGAGAAAUGAAUGCAAUUGGAGAAACUGGUUGUUUUACCAGGCGUUGAUUGGAAAUGUGUGCUUCCCUUUAAGCAGUCAAGCUCAACUUGCAGAACUGAUGGGAACCCCUUGGGAAAACUGGCCUCAAAUGUUUGUCUACACAGUCCACAUACAGGGUUCUUAACCUGCGAUUGAAACUCCCACAACUUUGGCAGACCAACUCCUCAGAAAACAUUAUUCUUUGACAUCAAUAUGUUUUGCACAAAAUUGAAUGGCAAGUGAAAGGCAUCAAAUGAUGGAGUCUUGUUCUGUGGUCCAGGCUAGAGGGCAGUGGCAUGAUCUCGGCUCACUACAAGCUCUGCCUCCCGGGUUCACGCCAUUCUCCUGCCUCAGCCUCCUGAGUAGCUGGGACUACAGGCGCCCGCCACCACGCCUGGCUAAUUUUUUGUAUAUUUACUAGAGAUGGCUAGUGUUAGCCAAGAUGGUCUCGAUCUCCUGACCUCGUGAUCUGCCCACCUCAGCCUGCCAAAGUGCUGGGAUUACUGGCGUGAGCCACCGUGCCUGGCCAGCAUCCUCUAAUUAUUAUUCAUAGUUUGUGAAUUUAGGCCUACGUGAAUAAUAAUAUAAUAUUUACUAUGAUGUUACUAUCUACCAACCUUAUUUUUCUUUUCUAUAAAAUAGGAGCCAAAAUAAUAUUUAUGUCAUACCUUAUGAAGUUAAAAUAAAAUAUAACGAAUGAGGGGCUUAACAA
Molecule: long non-coding RNA, 941 nt
Filed under: Homo sapiens (human)
Lineage: Eukaryota; Metazoa; Chordata; Mammalia; Primates; Hominidae
Description: HSALNT0325752
Source: RNAcentral